This 1007-nucleotide long non-coding RNA is filed under the name Vulpes vulpes (red fox). RNAcentral's name for it is "lncRNA (ENSVVUG00000006007.1)". The record is from RNAcentral. Lineage: Eukaryota; Metazoa; Chordata; Mammalia; Carnivora; Canidae.
UGCUCUGAAAAAUCUGGAUUUUAUAGUUUGUGAAGUUCUGAACAAAAAAUUAAGAUGCAAGGAGAUAGAAAUGUGAAGAUUUUUAUACUGGGCCUUUUCUCGCUCUUUUGUACUUUUUAUCUAACUGUAACACUCAGGUUUAUUUAACCAUCUUUAAUCUUGGCCUUCUAAAGUCCCAGUCUUUGGUGUUCUAAAACCUCUGCUGCUAGCAGAUCACCACGUUGCUUUGGCAUCACAUUCACUCUGUGUGGCAAAACUAUCUGGGCUUGUGUCCCAAAUCACAGUGGUGCUAAUUAAAUCCACUUAACAUAUUUUUUUCAUUCAUCCCCUGAAGCUGGAGGCAAUUUGUGAAGAAGACAUUGGUGAAGAAAUAAAAAUUAGAAAAUGUAAAAGAACUAUUAUAAAAGGAUCAGCAACAGCUACUUUUUAGGUUAUAAAGACCAAGCCUGUGCUGUUCUAGCUAGUAACCCACUCUUGUGGUGGGUGAUGACAGUAAGCAUACAGGAUCAGCCUUGGCACCACACAUGGCAAUAGCAUUGAGAGGAAACUCUAGAAGAGAAACUAAGGAGAGACUGACAACUUCAGGAAACUUCUGGUUGACCUUCUGCUGCUAUGGCCACUGGAGGCCCUUUGUUGGCCAAUGGCCCCUCUUCAGCCACCUGACUCACCGCAGACGACCCCCCGCCCCUGCUGACCACAGCCCACUUCACCCACCUCUGAAGCCAAACAAACAAAAAAAUGAAGAUGGAAGAGACUUCUAUUUUCUUUUCUUUUCUUUCCUUUUCUUUUUUCUUUUUUCCUUUUUCCUUUUUCCUUUUUCCUUUCCUUUCUCCCUUCCUUCCUUCCUUCCUUCCUUCCUUCCUUCCUUCCUUCCUUCCUUCCUUCCUUCUUUCCUUCCUUCCUUCCCUUAUUUUUUGACUUCUAUUUUCAAGAGAUUUUCAUCCUAAUGGGGAAUUGUAUUAAUCAGGGGUGGAGGGCAACGUGUAAUAAAAGCAAGGGUACGUGCA